UCAUUUUUGUGAUUUGCAGCUAGUAAUCUCAAGGUCCAGUUGCAUAGUCACAAAAGUGAUC
RNAcentral lists this microRNA precursor (61 nucleotides) under Scyliorhinus torazame (cloudy catshark). RNAcentral describes it as "Sto-Mir-153-P2_pre stem-loop". It matches the Rfam family "mir-153 microRNA precursor family", at positions 8 to 66 of the family's 73-position model. Lineage: Eukaryota; Metazoa; Chordata; Chondrichthyes; Carcharhiniformes; Scyliorhinidae. The record is from RNAcentral.